RNAcentral lists this ribosomal RNA (428 nucleotides) under Granulicatella adiacens. RNAcentral describes it as "bacterial SSU rRNA". It matches the Rfam family "Bacterial small subunit ribosomal RNA", at positions 30 to 448 of the family's 1533-position model. The record is from RNAcentral. Lineage: Bacteria; Bacillati; Bacillota; Bacilli; Lactobacillales; Carnobacteriaceae.
CGAACGCUGCCGGCGUGCUAAUACAUGCAAGUCGAACGAGAGCGACCGGUGCUUGCACUGGUCAAUCUAGUGGCAACGGGUGAGUAACACGUGGGUAACCUGCCCAUCAUAGGGGGAUAACAUUCGGAAACGGAUGCUAAAACCGCAUAGGUCUUCGAACCGCAUGGUUUGAAGAGGAAAAUAGGCGCAAGCUUCUGCUGAUGGAUGGACCCGCGGUGCAUUAGCUAGUUGGUGAGGUAACGGCUCACCAAGGCCGUGAUGCAUAGCCGACCUGAGAGGGUGAUCGGCUACAUUGGGACUGAGACACGGCCCAAACUCCUACGGGAGGCAGCAGUAGGGAAUCUUCCGCAAUGGACGCAAGUCUGACGGAGCAACGCCGCGUGAGUGAAGAAGGUUUUCGGAUCGUAAAACUCUGUUGUUAGAGAAGA